Molecule: transfer RNA, 73 nt
Filed under: Takifugu rubripes (torafugu)
Lineage: Eukaryota; Metazoa; Chordata; Actinopteri; Tetraodontiformes; Tetraodontidae
Description: tRNA-Arg (TCT) (tRNA-Arg-TCT-9-1)
Rfam family: tRNA
About the family: Transfer RNA (tRNA) molecules are approximately 80 nucleotides in length. Their secondary structure includes four short double-helical elements and three loops (D, anti-codon, and T loops). Further hydrogen bonds mediate the characteristic L-shaped molecular structure. tRNAs have two regions of fundamental functional importance: the anti-codon, which is responsible for specific mRNA codon recognition, and the 3' end, to which the tRNAs corresponding amino acid is attached (by aminoacyl-tRNA synthetases). tRNAs cope with the degeneracy of the genetic code in two manners: having more than one tRNA (with a specific anti-codon) for a particular amino acid; and 'wobble' base-pairing, i.e. permitting non-standard base-pairing at the 3rd anti-codon position.
Source: RNAcentral
GGCUCUGUGGCGCAAUGGAUAGCGCAUUGGACUUCUAAUUCAAAGGUUGUGGGUUCGAGUCCCACCAUAGUCG